UAGUACGGCUUUAUGGUACAUAUUCUUGAGAAAUUACACUGGAUGUUGGUAUAGCAUCUAUUUUAGAUUUUAGCAGUAUUUGGGGCUAUUUUACCUGUUUGAAGUAUAUCAGCCAAUCUCCCUAGUGAAAUCAUAAGAAUGGGAAGUAGAAGGAAGGAAUGGUUUGUAUUACUGAGGGAAAACUCAGUGCUUUAAGACUUCGUGAUAAACAUUUGGGUGGUUACCUUUGUUGGCAAGAAGUAUAUUUCAGUAAAAUCACAACAUAUCUCACAAGGCAGCGAGUCUUCUAGUAUUUUUUCUUCAUGAUUCCACCUUGCCCCCUCAAUGAAUAAACCAAAGACGUGAACUCCAAUGUGUGUGGGGUCUGUGCCCUAAGAUCAAAGAGAGGUGUUGUCAGUGGGUCCCAGAUAGGACCUUUCCUUUAAUAGAAGCUGCAUCUGGAGGAAGGUCAGGGAGGAGAUCAAAGAAGAGGAGAUGCAUGUCUCUGCCAUUGCCAUGUGGGACCACCCCAUCCCAGGCCUGUUUCCCCAGGUUCUAAGGCCAGUGUUUUAAAAGAGAGCAAAAACAAUUACAGAACGAGUCAGCCUUCUAGCAAGAUGGAAGAGUAGCAAGACCCUGCGCUCUCCUCCUCCCAUGGCCACACCAUAUUUAUAGAGCAAAUAUUGAUGAGAACGACCUGAAGACUAGCAGAAAAGAUUUUCCACAACUCAAGAUACAAAGAAGGAACCAAAAUGAGACAGGUUGGAGGGACAGAAAUGCAGUAUAUAGCCAGGACAUGGAAGCAACCCAAGUGUCCAUCAACAGAUGAAUGGAUAAAGAAGAUGUGGCACAUACAACCAAUGGAAUAUUACUCAGCCAUAAAAAGAAAUGAAAUUGCGUUACUUGUAGUGAGAUGGAUGGACCUAGAGUUU
Physeter macrocephalus (sperm whale) is the source of this 911-nucleotide long non-coding RNA. RefSeq lists it as uncharacterized. The record is from RefSeq and is a predicted model, not a curated record. The transcript has 3 exons. NCBI's taxonomy places the organism in Eukaryota, Metazoa, Chordata, Mammalia, Artiodactyla, Physeteridae.